This 931-nucleotide long non-coding RNA is filed under the name Phoenix dactylifera (date palm). RNAcentral's name for it is "long non-coding RNA (PDAC_LNC014640)". The record is from RNAcentral. Lineage: Eukaryota; Viridiplantae; Streptophyta; Magnoliopsida; Arecales; Arecaceae.
GAUGGGUGAAGGGAGAUCCUUUGGUGUACCGAGUUCAUGAUGUAAAUUCUAAUCCUUUACUUUAUACGAUCUAUCUUUUGAUUAUGUUAUGAUUCUUAUAUGUUGAAAAUUCUUUUAUGAUUUAUGCUUAUUGAUACAUGUCUUCCUCAAUUAUUUGAUUCAUCGUUGACGUUCUAAGGCACGUUGAAUGCUUAAGAAGAGAAUUCAUGUUAUCAAGAACAUACUCAAUAAUUAAAUUUUAUCUGCUUAUAAUUUUCAAAAGAAAACAAAAGAAUCAUAGAAUUUAUCGCAUGAACUUGAUAUUAUUAAAGAAGAUUCUGGAUCCCUACACCAUCUUAAUCUAUCCAAACUUCGAUUCUCUAUUUACUGGUUUAUUUUCUAUUUGCAAACCAUCAUCUUAAUUCACAAGUUUAUUGAAUUAAUUAAUCUGAAAUUAAGCUAAUAAUCCAUAGAUCGUUCUUUGAGGAAUCGACCUCGGACUUCCGAGUUAUACUACUUGUGCGAUUCUCCUGCACUUGGGAGAACAGUUUUGCGAGCGCACCAAUGGUGCCAGAAGGAAGUGCAAGGAUCAUACAAGAAAGGCUUUCCAUGACAGCAAUAGUACAAACUUGUGGUUCUUUGAUGGAUCAGGCAGCAAGUUCAUGCACUUUCUCUCAUAUUUAACAUAUGGCCAUCUUCUUCUACAUAUUUCAUAAAAGAUGGAAGCUUUAAUAGUUAUUUAGGUGACAAAGUGCUUUAAAAAUGAAAAUUGUCAUACGACCCUUCUUUUUGGGACAAGAAUACUAAUAGCAUGUAUCAUCCACUGACUGCCAAUCACACACACAUAAGAAGAAAAGAAAAAAACGAGCUGAAGCACAUAGCUUCUCAGUUCUCAUAUGAUAUGGACAUUUGCUGCCACAUGCAAAUAUUUAUAUGCGAACACAUACACGAA